Non-coding RNA from Paramuricea clavata, 493 nucleotides. NCBI's taxonomy places the organism in Eukaryota, Metazoa, Cnidaria, Anthozoa, Malacalcyonacea, Plexauridae. The record is from the annotation of a GenBank genome assembly.
CGCGCUAGUUACGAAGUUUCAAAGGAAGUCGCUAAAAUACACAAAUUUCGGCUAGUUAUAUCUUUUUUGUUUAUGCUCUGAUUUUUUUCGUUAUUGUGUGAUUUGAAAGAUAAAGUGUCCAUUUACAAUCGUAUGUUUGUUUUUUUUUGAUAAUUUUGCAACGAAAUUGUAAAAAUGGCGUGGAAAAGAGCAACACAAUACAAGCGCUUCAUUGUCGGGAGCGUAUGCGACAGCAAAGGUUAAGCUUUAUAGCCAUAGAUAACAAGACGAAGCAGUGUAGAGCAACGGCUAAGAAGUUAAAAAGAUUGGAUAAAAGGGUAAGAUGAGCCUUUUAAUUGUUUUGGUAGUUUAUUUAGUACAAAAUUUUAACAAAUCGAUGCCUCUAGGUAUAGCAAAAUCAUAGUAUUUAUACAUAUUUUUUCAACAUGAUCGAUCGGCUCAGUUGCUAGGUUAAUGUUUACUUAGCCACUUGGACAGUGAGUCAAAGAUCCCU